This 62-nucleotide transfer RNA is filed under the name Hirudo medicinalis (medicinal leech). Its description in RNAcentral is "tRNA-Ile". RNAcentral also lists the same sequence under 1 other name. Lineage: Eukaryota; Metazoa; Annelida; Clitellata; Hirudinida; Hirudinidae. The record is from RNAcentral.
AACACUAAGCCGGAAUAACGGAUAACAUUGAUGUCGUUAAAUAUGACUUAUAUCUAGUGUUU